GGCAGUAUAGCUCAGUUGGUAGAGCGAAGGUGUGCAUACGUGAUGAUACGUGUCGCAGGUCUUUUGUCACAAGUUCGAGUCUUGUUGCUGCCCCA
This 95-nucleotide transfer RNA is filed under the name Bacteroides uniformis. RNAcentral's name for it is "tRNA-OTHER". It matches the Rfam family "tRNA". Rfam says of the family: Transfer RNA (tRNA) molecules are approximately 80 nucleotides in length. Their secondary structure includes four short double-helical elements and three loops (D, anti-codon, and T loops). The record is from RNAcentral. Lineage: Bacteria; Pseudomonadati; Bacteroidota; Bacteroidia; Bacteroidales; Bacteroidaceae.